RNAcentral lists this ribosomal RNA (318 nucleotides) under Triticum aestivum (bread wheat). Its description in RNAcentral is "partial small subunit ribosomal RNA". Lineage: Eukaryota; Viridiplantae; Streptophyta; Magnoliopsida; Poales; Poaceae. The record is from RNAcentral.
AUGACCUUUUCCGAUCACGAUGACCUCCUGUCGCUGCUGAAGGUAUUUUGUUUCUUCUCUUUUCAUCUGCAGACUGCAGAGUAUCUUGUUUGUUCAAUUCUGAUAAAAAAAACUAGAUGUUCUAGUCAAAGCAGUACUGCAGUCAUGCAGUACUUGUUGCAGUAUUACGUUUAUUUGUUUUUGGAUGAGAUACUUUCAAAGUUGAUUUAUAGUGACAAUGCGAGAGUUGUAGAUAAUUUUCUGUACUUCCAGUGUACUUUAUUAUUAAUUCUUAGUAUAAGAGUAUCUAAGGGGCACAAUUGGCUUGAAUUCAUAUAG